This 255-nucleotide long non-coding RNA is filed under the name Elaeis guineensis (African oil palm). Its description in RNAcentral is "long non-coding RNA (EGUI_LNC029438)". Lineage: Eukaryota; Viridiplantae; Streptophyta; Magnoliopsida; Arecales; Arecaceae. The record is from RNAcentral.
CUAAUUGGCUAGAUCCAAAAGAAUUAACUCUACCAGCGAUCAGUCUCGAUUGACUAGGUUUGGAAGAAAUAUUUCUGACGAAUGGCUAACGAUCAGUCUCAUUGGCUAGAUCCAGAUCAUAGUCUGAUUAAAUUUCUUUUUUCAUAAUUUUAUCAUAAUCAAUUUCUCAUAAUUAAUCAAAUCAAGUUUUUCACAUCUCAUUUUCAAAAAUAAGAGAAUAAUUCUAUUCAAAAUUAGUGCAAGGAUAAACAUAUG